Molecule: transfer RNA, 76 nt
Filed under: Camelus bactrianus (Bactrian camel)
Lineage: Eukaryota; Metazoa; Chordata; Mammalia; Artiodactyla; Camelidae
Also listed under: 1 other name
Rfam family: tRNA
About the family: Transfer RNA (tRNA) molecules are approximately 80 nucleotides in length. Their secondary structure includes four short double-helical elements and three loops (D, anti-codon, and T loops).
Source: Rfam by way of RNAcentral
GAGGGUAUAGCUCAAUCAGUGGUAGAGUGUGUGUUUAGCAUGUACGAUGUCCUGGGUUCAAUCCCCAGUACCUCCA